GACUUAAUACUUUAAAUUAAAAGAUUUGAUUUGCAUUCAAAAAUUAGGUAACUAUACCUUUAGGUCA
This 67-nucleotide transfer RNA is filed under the name Varicospira cancellata. Its description in RNAcentral is "tRNA-Ala". Lineage: Eukaryota; Metazoa; Mollusca; Gastropoda; Littorinimorpha; Rostellariidae. The record is from RNAcentral.